This 22-nucleotide non-coding RNA is filed under the name Rattus norvegicus (Norway rat). Lineage: Eukaryota; Metazoa; Chordata; Mammalia; Rodentia; Muridae. The record is from RNAcentral.
CUUAACAAACGGAUCAGCUAUC